Balaenoptera musculus (blue whale) is the source of this 889-nucleotide long non-coding RNA. RefSeq lists it as uncharacterized. The record is from RefSeq and is a predicted model, not a curated record. Lineage: Eukaryota; Metazoa; Chordata; Mammalia; Artiodactyla; Balaenopteridae. The transcript has 4 exons.
GGGAGGGCUGAGACCAGCGCCCUUCGGCCCCGUCUGGGCUUAGAAGUCCCCUUCGGUUCUCUUUAAUGGUAGGGGGAAGGUCCCAAGAUGCCCAAGUCCAGCGUGCAGAGGCCUGUCCGCAGCUUUGUGGACAGCCAUGCGGGAUGGGCGUCCCCAGUGGCUGCUCCACUCCUCCACGGCCUGAGCAUCGUGGCGCAGACGCUGGCCCGGUGGGAGCGUGACCUGGCUGUGCAGUUGGCCGUAUCCGGGCCUCUCCUGAUGUGGUGCUGGCAGAACGCCUCUGGCUGCUGAGUGAACUGUCUGGAGGAGCCCGAUGGAAGCAGAGAGACAGGGUGAGAAGAGGAGGAAUCAGCAAAGGAGACCUAGGAGGAGUGGCCAGAGGGAGAGAACCAAGAGCAUCUUGGAAGCCAAGUGAAGACAGUCAGAUGCUGGCAAGAGUGUCUGAGAGGAUGGAGAACCGGCCUUGGACUGGGCAACAUGGAGGUCCCAGGCGACCCUGACAAAGCUGCUUUGGGGACAUGGCGGAGUGAAAGCCCAGUAAGAGUGGGUCCGAGAGAGAAUGUUGGACUCCUCGCCCACUCCCUCAGUGCUUAGUCCAACUUUUAACUAUGUCCUCAAGCCUCCUCCUCCCUUGCCCCUCCACUCACUCCAGGAAUCCAUCCUGUCUCCCUCGGGUCAGAUCCCCCCAGCUUCCAUCUAUCAAACCCGCACGAUCUCUCGCCCUUACCUGCUCCUCCCUGUAUCCCUCCUGCCAGGGUGGUGCCUCCACCUGUGACCUGGACCCUAUUCCAUCUCGCCUUCUCGAGGCCUCAUUCCACGAACAUCCCUCAUUUCCUGGUGUCCCCAUCCACCCUCUCUGCUCACUGGUGUGUCCCAGCAUUAAACAUUA